AGUGAGAAGCUCAACCACUGGGGCGUGAGGCUACGUUGGCGCAUGCGCGGCCCUGCUGCGGCGACUCCGCGCCUGCGCUGUAGGUGCAACUUCGCGUGGCUUUUGUUCGCACACACCUGCCUGUUACUAUGGGUAUGGUGGCGACUGCAGGUCUGGAUUGCUGGACAGCUUUUUCUUUAUACCUCGAGGCUUUCUUUGAAGGAGUCGGAGCAUUUACAAGGCCACCUCAAGAGGGAUUGAGUCGGGGGAGGAUUAGCAGUAUUUGCUUAGAUUGUAAAACCGCGACUUUAUCUAAUUAAAUAAAUCGCCGUUCAAGGUGCAGAUAUAAACUUAUAACAGAGGAUUUCAGCAGAUUGUGGUGACCACGGAAACAGACAUCUCUGGUGCCCUCCGUUUCUGGGAGAUAAUCAGUUUGUCCCACUGCCUGCUUGUGUCAGUGCUGUAUGUGGGCACCAAUACAUGCCUCUUUGUGAAGCAAAAAUGAGCACAUUUCUCUGAAUAAAACCGUAUAAACCAU
Molecule: non-coding RNA, 517 nt
Organism: Saimiri boliviensis boliviensis (Bolivian squirrel monkey)
Lineage: Eukaryota; Metazoa; Chordata; Mammalia; Primates; Cebidae
Source: RefSeq, a predicted model, not a curated record